CCUACGGGAGGCAGCAGUAGGGAAUCUUCCGCAAUGGACGAAAGUCUGACGGAGCAACGCCGCGUGAGCGAUGAAGGCCUUCGGGUCGUAAAGCUCUGUUGUUAGGGAAGAAUAAGUGCUAGUUAAAUAAGCUGGCACCUUGACGGUACCUAACCAGAAAGCCACGGCUAACUACGUGCCAGCAGCCGCGGUAAUACGUAGGUGGCAAGCGUUGUCCGGAAUUAUUGGGCGUAAAGCGCGCGCAGGCGGUUUCUUAAGUCUGAUGUGAAAGCCCCCGGCUCAACCGGGGAGGGUCAUUGGAAACUGGGAAACUUGAGUGCAGAAGAGGAAAGUGGAAUUCCAAGUGUAGCGGUGAAAUGCGUAGAGAUUUGGAGGAACACCAGUGGCGAAGGCGACUUUCUGGUCUGUAACUGACGCUGAGGCGCGAAAGCGUGGGGAGCAAACAGGAUUAGAUACCCUGGUAGUCCACGCCGUAAACGAUGAGUGCUAAGUGUUAGAGGGUUUCCGCCCUUUAGUGCUGCAGCAAACGCAUUAAGCACUCCGCCUGGGGAGUACGGCCGCAAGGCUGAAACUCAAAGGAAUUGACGG
Molecule: ribosomal RNA, 588 nt
Filed under: uncultured bacterium
Lineage: Bacteria
Description: bacterial SSU rRNA
Rfam family: Bacterial small subunit ribosomal RNA
Source: RNAcentral